AGCAGCCGCGGUAAUUCCAGCUCCAAUAGCGUAUAUUAAAGUUGUUGCAGUUAAAAAGCUCGUAGUUGAAUUUCGGGAUCAGUAGGUUGGUCAUGCCUUUGGUAUGUACUGGUCUCACUGAUUCCUCCCUCUUGAAGAACUGUAAUGUCAUUAAUUUGGUGUUGCGGGGAAUCAGGACUGUUACUUUGAAAAAAUUAGAGUGUUUAAAGCAGGCUUACGCUUGAAUACAUUAGCAUGGAAUAAUGAAAUAGGACGUUUGAUCCUAUUUUGUUGGUUUCUAGGAUUGACGUAAUGAUUAAUAGGGAUAGUUGGGGGCAUUAGUAUUCAAUUGUCAGAGGUGAAAUUCUUGGAUUUAUUGAAGACUAACUACUGCGAAAGCAUUUGCCAAGGAUGUUUUCAUUAAUCAAGAACGAAAGUUAGGGGAUCGAAGACGAUCAGAUACCGUCGUAGUCUUAACCAUAAACUAUGCCGACUAGGGAUCGGAUGAUGUUAAUUUUUUAAUGACUCAUUCGGCGCCUUA
RNAcentral lists this ribosomal RNA (520 nucleotides) under uncultured Glomus. RNAcentral describes it as "SSU rRNA". It matches the Rfam family "Eukaryotic small subunit ribosomal RNA", at positions 569 to 1090 of the family's 1831-position model. Lineage: Eukaryota; Fungi; Glomeromycota; Glomeromycetes; Glomerales; Glomeraceae. The record is from RNAcentral.